CCUACGGGAGGCAGCAGUGGGGAAUAUUGGACAAUGGGGGGAACCCUGAUCCAGCCAUGCCGCGUGUGUGAAGAAGGCCCUCGGGUUGUAAAGCACUUUCAGUGAGGAAGAACGCCUGUUGGUUAAUACCCAUCAGGAAAGACAUCACUCACAGAAGAAGCACCGGCUAACUCCGUGCCCGCAGCCGCGGUAAUACGGAGGGUGCGAGCGUUAAUCGGAAUUACUGGGCGUAAAGCGCGCGUAGGUGGCUUGAUAAGCCGGUUGUGAAAGCCCCGGGCUCAACCUGGGAACGGCAUCCGGAACUGUCAAGCUAGAGUGCAGGAGAGGAAGGUAGAAUUCCCGGUGUAGCGGUGAAAUGCGUAGAUAUCGGGAGGAAUACCAGUGGCGAAGGCGGCCUUCUGGACGGACACUGACACUGAGGUGCGAAAGCGUGGGUAGCAAACAGGAUUAGAUACCCUAGUAGUC
This 465-nucleotide ribosomal RNA is filed under the name Vreelandella stevensii. RNAcentral's name for it is "partial 16S ribosomal RNA". It matches the Rfam family "Bacterial small subunit ribosomal RNA", at positions 338 to 795 of the family's 1533-position model. Lineage: Bacteria; Pseudomonadati; Pseudomonadota; Gammaproteobacteria; Oceanospirillales; Halomonadaceae. The record is from RNAcentral.